UCUGAAGAUACAGUAGGAUAGAAUGACGCUACGUGAAGAAGAGGAGUACUAAGGUCCAGCACGACCGGGCAAAAUUGGCCCUUUUAAGUCUUUGCUUCGUUCCUGCUACACAAGAACGAGCAAAGAGGGGCACCUAUAAUACCCAAUUUUCCCGGCCCAAUAAAAAAACAAAAAAAAUAUUAAAAAUCCAUAAGUCCAUUUACACUACCCAAUUACAACAAAAACUAAACCCAAUUACAAUGGCCCAAAUACCCCAGCCCAAUUACAUUGAAACCCAAAACGAAAAAAAAUUUUCAGAAACCCCUAGGGUUUCCAGAAUAUCUCAC
RNAcentral lists this long non-coding RNA (326 nucleotides) under Gossypium raimondii (Peruvian cotton). RNAcentral describes it as "long non-coding RNA (GRAI_LNC009258)". Lineage: Eukaryota; Viridiplantae; Streptophyta; Magnoliopsida; Malvales; Malvaceae. The record is from RNAcentral.